This 676-nucleotide ribosomal RNA is filed under the name uncultured bacterium. RNAcentral's name for it is "bacterial SSU rRNA". It matches the Rfam family "Bacterial small subunit ribosomal RNA", at positions 8 to 733 of the family's 1533-position model. The record is from RNAcentral.
AGAGUUUGAUCAUGGCUCAGAGCGAACGCUGUCGGCAGGCCUAAUACAUGCAAGUCGAACGCCCCUUCGGGGGAGUGGCGGACGGGUGAGUAACGCGUGGGAACGUGCCCUUUGGUACGGAACAACUGAGGGAAACUUCAGCUAAUACCGUAUGUGCCCUUCGGGGGAAAGAUUUAUCGCCAUUGGAGCGGCCCGCGUUGGAUUAGCUAGUUGGUGGGGUAAAGGCCCACCAAGGCGACGAUCCAUAGCUGGUCUGAGAGGAUGACCAGCCACACUGGGACUGAGACACGGCCCAGACUCCUACGGGAGGCAGCAGUAGGGAAUCUUGGGCAAUGGGCGAAAGCCUGACCCAGCCAUGCCGCGUGAAUGAUGAAGGUCUUAGGAUUGUAAAAUUCUUUCACCGGGGACGAUAAUGACGGUACCCGGAGAAGAAGCCCCGGCUAACUUCGUGCCAGCAGCCGCGGUAAUACGAAGGGGGCUAGCGUUGCUCGGAAUUACUGGGCGUAAAGGGCGCGUAGGCGGAUCGUUAAGUUAGAGGUGAAAGCCCAGGGCUCAACCUUGGAACUGCCUUUGAUACUGGCGAUCUGGAGUACGGGAGAGGUGUGUGGAACUCCGAGUGUAGAGGUGAAAUUCGUAGAUAUUCGAAGAACACCAGUGGCGAAGGCGACACACUGGC